Molecule: long non-coding RNA, 543 nt
Filed under: Mus pahari (shrew mouse)
Lineage: Eukaryota; Metazoa; Chordata; Mammalia; Rodentia; Muridae
Description: lncRNA (MGP_PahariEiJ_G0005906.1)
Source: RNAcentral
CAGGGAGUAGACUUCAUGGUCACUUUCAGCCCUCCUGUCUCCCUUCUUUUGCUCUAGGAGAAAGAGCUUGAGGAAGGAGGGCCCCGCCAUAAAGCUGGGGAGAAAGUAAUCCUUUAAUUAAGAGGGGAAUUCUUUUGUACCUGCACUGUAUCCUUUUGAUGCAUUUAGAUAGAGGGAACCUGAGAGGCCAGGGACAAUGGCAGUUUGCUACUGUCUGAAUCCCUUCCCCUUACACUUAAUCCUGUCCUUAUUGGGACCUUGGGUGGAAAGCUGAUAAUUUUGGUGUUGUCCUAAAAAGGAAGGCAGUGCCUUGAAUUCCUGCCACUAUCCCCUGAUAAUGAACAGGCCUAAUGAAUGCGGGUGGGAAAACACAAUGAUCCUAAGCUCUGUGGUUUUCAAAGAAGUUCAUCAGUGGGGGGAGGAGAAAAUGGAGCAUAAGAGAAGUGUUGGCCAGACGUUCCCAGGAUUCCCAGGAUUCCCAGGUGGGUUUCAUAUAUUGUUCAACUAGAAGAACCAGACCAACUCAUCUUUCCCAGAAGACUG